Molecule: long non-coding RNA, 1152 nt
Organism: Engraulis encrasicolus (European anchovy)
Lineage: Eukaryota; Metazoa; Chordata; Actinopteri; Clupeiformes; Engraulidae
Exons: 7
Source: RefSeq, a predicted model, not a curated record
CUUUGUUAAGCUCUAACGUCUUUCUUUGAAGCUGGUGUCAUGUUCCCUGGAUUUAAACCGAAGAGAACCUCCUAGAGACUUCAGUAGGCUUUUUCAGAUGUAUUGACCAGAUGUCCUGGAAGUGGCCCCUGAUGCAGACCCAGUUGUUGGGUAGCCACCCAUGCACGUUGACACAGCCCCAGCAGUGGGCACCCAUGGGGAUGGACCCAGGAGUGGAGGAUGACCCAAUAGGUGGUGGGUAGCCACCCAUGCACGUUGACACAGCCAGCAGCGAGUACCCAGAGCGAUGGACCCAGAAGUGGAGGAUAAUCCAAUAGGAGUGCUGGAUCGAUAGGGGGCCAAUCAUCUCGAAUUGAGACCCUUAUAUAGACUCUGGGCGGCUCCGACUCACUCUCUCUCUCUCUUGAAUCUGGCUUCUUCAGACCACAGCCCUGACGGCCACACUGAGAAUGCAGACGAUGGUGGUGGAAUUAAUAACCUGGAUCAGGAGUCCUCUGACAGCAGAUCUGAAUGGGCACCUGAUGGUGAAGACAUUACAUGUGAGGAAAAGACACAUACUAGAGGGAGUCGAGGACUUGGCUGUUCUACAAAAUGUCACUAAGGGAUGCAACUGACAGCUGAAGUAGGAUCUUUUUUGUUUUUUGGCCAUGACAAUGCUUUGACAGUUGAUAAUAAACUGAUAAUUACGAUACUAUGUGCACACCAUUGUUUUUAUGGGGUUUUUUUAAAUAAUAAAAUGGAUGUACUCAUCGAAACCACUUGGUGAUGUUGUUUUAUUGAUUGUUAACCACAUUAUACUUGUAAUAGAUAUGAUUGCAAAGUUGAUUAGAGCUUUGGCCUCAAUUGCUAUGUGGAAAAUAUUGCUCCAUGUCUCCAUUACAGAGAAAUCUGAUUAUUUUGCAGGAUUAACUGAGGCAAAAAUGUCCAAUAAAAUUGUGGCGACAAUAUUACACAUGAUAUAAUGGAGAGAAUCCUUCUAAUUGAAAUGAGGAAAGUUCCUUGAUUUAUUUGUAAUUUGACAUAUUUUAUUCAUGCAAAAAUGUCCAAUAAAAUUGAGGCGACAAUAUUACACGUGAUAUAAUGGAGGGAAUCCUUCCAAUUGAAAUGAGGAAAGUUCCUUGAUUUAUUUGAAAUUUGUCAUAAUUUAUCCAU